GGCCUUGAAUUGUAGUCUAGAGAUGUAUCACCAACUGGGGCGCAGAUGUAAGCCUUUUGGAAUAGAGCAUCAAUGAGGGUGAAAGUCCCGCUUGGCAUCUGCAGUCCCCAGUGCUCGGUGUGCCUUCUAAGAGUCACGUUCCUCGGGAUUGGAGCGCAAAUUGGGUGGUAAAUUUCAUCUAAAGCUAAAUAUUGCUUCGAGACCGAUAGCAAACAAGUACCAUGAGGGAAAGGUGAAAAGGACUUUGAAAAGAGAGUUAAAAGUGCCUGAAAUUGCUGAAAGGGAAGCGAAUGGAGCCAGCAUGGCUUGGCAAGAUUGCUACGUGUCAAUGUGAGUGCUUGCUGCUGCAAUGAAAAUGAGGUAGUGAGUUUUGAACAGGACAUGCGUGGUGCAUCCUGCCUUGUGUGUCACUGCCAGUUCACAGCUGGGGAAAACUUCAGGUACAUGGUAGCCUGUCCUUGGGUGGGUGAACGUGCUUGCUGGAACUCAUUUGUGGACUGAUCAGCGACUAAAUGGUUCCAUCUGACCCGUCUUGAAACACGGACCAAGGAGUCUAACAUAUGUGCAAGCUCACGGGUGUUAAGCCUGCUUGCAUAAUGAAAGUGACUGCUGGGAUCUUUGCACCAGCAACCGACCAAUCCAUUGAGAGAGGUUUGAGUAUGAGCAUAUCUGUUAGGACCCGAAAGAUGGUGAACUAUGCCUGUGAAGGGCAAACUCAGGGGAAACUCUGAUGGAGGCUCGUAGCGAUACUGACGUGCAAAUCGUUCGUCAUACAUGGGUAUAGGGGCGAAAGACUAAUCGAACCAUCUAGUAGCUGGUUCCCUCCGAAGUUUCCCUCAGGAUAGCUGGAGUUGAACAGUUUUAUCAGGUAAAGCGAAUGAUUAGAGGAAUCGGGGACGUGUUGUCCUCGACCUAUUCUCAAACUUUAAAUGGGUAAGAUCCAGUGGUUGCUUGGAUGAACUUCUGGGAUUAAAUGACAACUCUAAGUGGGCCAUUUUGGUAAGCAGAACUGGCGAUGAGGGAUGAACCUAACGUUGGGUUAAAGUGC
This 1048-nucleotide ribosomal RNA is filed under the name Scrippsiella precaria. RNAcentral's name for it is "partial large subunit ribosomal RNA". It matches the Rfam family "Eukaryotic large subunit ribosomal RNA", at positions 134 to 1188 of the family's 3401-position model. The record is from RNAcentral. Lineage: Eukaryota; Dinophyceae; Peridiniales; Peridiniaceae.